GAUCAUGGCUCAGGAUGAACGCUAGCGGCAGGCUUAACACAUGCAAGUCGAGGGGCAGCAUAAUGGAUAGCAAUAUCUAUGGUGGCGACCGGCGCACGGGUGCGUAACGCGUAUGCAACCUACCUUUAACAGGGGGGAUAACACUGAGAAAUUGGUACUAAUACCCCAUAAUAUCAUAGAAGGCAUCUUUUAUGGUUGAAAAUUCCGGAAUGGUUAGAGGUGGGCAUGCGUUGUA
RNAcentral lists this ribosomal RNA (235 nucleotides) under uncultured bacterium. RNAcentral describes it as "partial 16S ribosomal RNA". It matches the Rfam family "Bacterial small subunit ribosomal RNA", at positions 15 to 240 of the family's 1533-position model. The record is from RNAcentral.